CAUGAGGAAGAAUUUUUUUAUCAGUGGUAUUGUAGUUUAGUUUGGGUGCCUAUUCUGAGUUGACCUGAUGUAGAAGAUUAGACAGUUUUGAAACAGACAUUCCUACCUGACCCGUGAGGAACCAAGUGUAGUGCAAGUGUGAUUAGGCUUUGGCCUCUGGUGAGCUCCCUGGUGCAUGGUCCUGUAUUGGCUGUAGUCACUUUGUACUUUUGCUGUAUUUUGUUCUAGAAGAGUAAUGGGGUGUACACUAGACUAGAUCACAUUACUGUUUCUGAGCUGGAAACAAUAAAAAAUAAGGUGUCUAAGUAUGCCAAAUAUUUAUAUACUGCUAUAAAAGCUAAGAGGAAGACUUUUCAAAAGUACAGAAAUUACUUUUUCUAAACUCCAGUCUUUGUAUGCUAGUUAAUUGCUUAGUUCAACAUUAUAAAACUAUGGGACUUUCACUGAAGAGAAAGAUCUCAGAUACUAUAUAUUCUAUUAUCAGAAUUCACCAUCUGUGUUAGUUUACAUUGCUUGUAGAUUUUCCAAAAAGAGCCUUCAGUGGGCUAUAGUUAACAUUGGGCACAUUAGUGUAAUCACGGUACACUGUAGAUCCCAGACAUUAGUGUGACUGGCUUGUUCUCCUGGGAAUAGCUGUCCUCACUGACAGAUACCACUUUGCCUGGUAUGGCAGUCUGUAUCGAAGUUCCUUUAGCUCUUAGUAUAGCAACCCACAGUUUUAAAAGGAUGAAAACUCAUGAAUUCUUUACAGCUAAAGUGUAUAUUCUGGAUGGGAAUAAGAAAAACUUUUGUACAAAGGUAUGUGCAAAGUACACUUGUGGUAUUUUGGGGUUUAGUACCCCAGGAUGAUUAAAUUAUGCUAAAUUCUAAGAUUAUCACUUGGACUUUUGGCUAAGAUUAAAUGUAAAUUCUAAGAUUAACAUAUCAUGUAUUGUCUAUAACUGGGUGUUCAAUGGAAAUGUAAUGUGAGCCCCAAAGGUAUUACAAUUUUCUAGUAGCAAUGUUUAAGACAUAUAAUUAACUUUUAAUAACAUAUCUUAUUUAACUUAAUCUAGUAAAACACGCUUUCAAUAUUCAUCAAUGUAACAAAAUUAAGGAGCCAUCUAGCGCCUUUUCUCCCUUUAUAUUAGUCUUCACAAUUCAAUGUGUGGUUUGCACUCACGCUGCCCCUCCACUGCAGCCAUGUUUCAUGCCCUCAGGCUCCACGUGUGGCCAGGGGCUGCUGCUGCAGACACAAUGCAGAUUUAUAGGCUACAAAGUAUGAAUCUGUUUAAAUUUGGAGGUGACAGAUGGACAUGAAAUUUCGAUCCUUUAAGGAUUGUUUAGAAAGAAAUCUAAUGAAGUUUUCCUUCAUUUUAAGUUAACUUUGUUCUAGAAAUUGGAUCAACCUGAUCUAAUUUGCCAAGCAUUAUUUGAAGAAGAAAUCCUGUGCCAUGCAAAAUACCUCUAGGAUUGUUGUAAAGUACUGACGGUAGAAUAGUGACAGUCUUCGGUCUUCACUAAAGUCUGUCCUGUUUCUUCAAAGCAUACCAGCUUGAGUUGCAUGCUUAGUGCAUAUCCGGACUUGUUUGCUUCCCAUUAUUCUUGUUAUAUAAUGAUGUAUAUUAACCAGCAGCCCUAGGAUUCUAAUCUAUGCAGCUGUCUGCCAGAACAUAAUGAUGUACCUAUUAAAUCAUGGUAAAUAGAAGAGAAAUAAGUUGAACCAUUUCUUUCCCCAUUAGAAUUGUUUUUUAACAUGUGGCCAUGUACCAAACCAGCUGUAAAUUAGUGUAUUUCUGUAGAAUAUGGAAACGGUGUUGUCUUUGAUGAUGUCUGAGUAAACGUUACCUCUCCUAA
Molecule: long non-coding RNA, 1836 nt
Filed under: Mus musculus (house mouse)
Lineage: Eukaryota; Metazoa; Chordata; Mammalia; Rodentia; Muridae
Description: long non-coding RNA chr19:23727085-23728921
Source: RNAcentral